This 253-nucleotide ribosomal RNA is filed under the name uncultured bacterium. RNAcentral's name for it is "partial 16S ribosomal RNA". It matches the Rfam family "Bacterial small subunit ribosomal RNA", at positions 524 to 776 of the family's 1533-position model. The record is from RNAcentral.
UACGUAGGGGGCAAGCGUUGUCCGGAUUUAUUGGGCGUAAAGAGCGUGUAGGCGGCUUUGCAAGUCCGUUGUGAAAACUCGAGGCUCAACCUCGAGACGCCGGUGGAAACUGCAAAGCUAGAGUCCGGUAGGGGAGACUGGAAUUCCUGGUGUAGCGGUGAAAUGCGCAGAUAUCAGGAGGAACACCGGUGGCGAAGGCGGGUCUCUGGGCCGAUACUGACGCUGAGGAGCGAAAGCGUGGGGAGCGAACAGG